Oryzias latipes (Japanese medaka) is the source of this 939-nucleotide long non-coding RNA. RefSeq lists it as uncharacterized. Lineage: Eukaryota; Metazoa; Chordata; Actinopteri; Beloniformes; Adrianichthyidae. The record is from RefSeq and is a predicted model, not a curated record.
CAAAAAGUCCCGCCUCUUACCACACACAUGUUGUGCCCCCUAAGUUGCCCUAAGUUCCCUGAUCAAGCAGAAACGUGCUUUGACUGGAGGAAGGCCUUGUAUCAGGUUGGAAAAACCAGCAGCCCUCCAGUGCUUCAGCCGUCCAACCAUCAACCGUUUCAGACAUCCAUCCUCCCACCACUUCAGCCCCACAGCCGUCCACCAGUGUCCCAACUCCUGACAUUUUACUGUCCUGGGGGGGGUCAUGGCCUCUACGCUGGAUUCCAAAAAAGAGACAAAAAACCCCCCGACCUCAACCCCCACUCUUAGUCAGACAUGUUUAUUUUUUUUAUUUACAAUAAUAAAUAAUAUACUAUGUACAUUUAUUUUGUUUUACUUUUUUAUACUUAGUUUCCUUAUUUCCUAUAAUAUUUAUUAGUAGUUGUUGUUUGUUGAUGUUAGUUCUUUUUAGCCCCUUUUAUGUUAAAAUAGACGUAAAUGAUCCAGAUGCUGAUAUUCUAAUAUAUAGACAGAUUUAUGAAUUAAUUAUUCUCAACAGAAGUUCAACGCUAUUGUGGUAGCAGUUUGACUGUUUUACUGUAAUCUGUCGUGCCUCACCCACUGUCCAUCCCAUAAAAAAGAACAAUUCUACAUCAUUAACCUUUUUUUUAUUUUUAUUCAUAUGGCACAUUCAUAAAUACAAAGUUAGAAAUCAUACCCCCCAUUUUUCUAACUUUAUCAAUGAGUUCAAACAAAACAUGAACACAAUAAGAAACUCUGACAAUAAGAAAGCAUUUAAAACAUUCAAUCUGUGCGUCAGUUUCAAUGUUUUUGUGAAAAAUUUCAUAAUAAUCCUCUGGUUUGUUUCUUUCUUGUUGCUUUUUGGAAUUGUUGUUUUGAAUUGUUACAGUCAAUAAAGUUUGAAUAAAAAACAACUGCAAUCUGUCAUGCGACAAGGUA